Molecule: ribosomal RNA, 1063 nt
Filed under: Auricularia fibrillifera
Lineage: Eukaryota; Fungi; Basidiomycota; Agaricomycetes; Auriculariales; Auriculariaceae
Description: partial large subunit ribosomal RNA
Rfam family: Eukaryotic large subunit ribosomal RNA
Source: RNAcentral
GAAAUCUGGCGGUCUCAGGCCGUCCGAGUUGUAAUCUAGAGAGGUGUUUUCCGUGCCGGACCGUGUACAAGUCCCUUGGAACAGGGCGUCAUAGAGGGUGAGAAUCCCGUCCAUGACACGGACUACCGGUGCUCUGUGAUACACCUUCAAAGAGUCGAGUUGUUUGGGAAUGCAGCUCAAAAUGGGUGGUAAAUUCCAUCUAAAGCUAAAUACAGGCGAGAGACCGAUAGCGAACAAGUACCGUGAGGGAAAGAUGAAAAGAACUUUGGAAAGAGAGUUAAACAGUACGUGAAAUUGUUGAAAGGGAAACGCUUGAAGUCAGUCGCGUCUGCCAGGACUCAGCCUUGCUUCUGCUUGGUGCACUUCUUGGUGGAUGGGCCAGCAUCGAUUUUGGCCGCCGGAAAAGGGCGGGAGGAAUGUGGCAGCUUUUGCUGUGUUAUAGCCUUCCGUCGUACACGGUGGUCGGGAUCGAGGACUGCAGCACGCCUUUGGUCGGGGUUCGCCCACGCCACGUGCUUAGGAUGCUGGCGUAAUGGCUUUAAACGACCCGUCUUGAAACACGGACCAAGGAGUCUAACAUGCCUGCGAGUGUUUGGGUGCAAAACCCAGGCGCGUAAUGAAAGUGAAAAGUUGGGACUCUUUAGUGAGGCACCGACGCCCGACCCUGAAGUCUUCUGACGGGUUUGAGGCAGAGCAUGUAUGUUGGGACCCGAAAGAUGGUGAACUAUGCCUGAAUAGGGUGAAGCCAGAGGAAACUCUGGUGGAGGCUCGUAGCGAUUCUGACGUGCAAAUCGAUCGUCAAAUUUGGGUAUAGGGGCGAAAGACUAAUCGAACCAUCUAGUAGCUGGUUCCUGCCGAAGUUUCCCUCAGGAUAGCAGAAACUCACAUCAGUUUUAUGUGGUAAAGCGAAUGAUUAGAGGCCUUGGGGUUGAAACAACCUUAACCUAUUCUCAAACUUUAAAUAUGUAAGAUCGGACCGUCACUUGAUUGGACCGUCUGGCGAAUGAGAGUUUCUAGUGGGCCAUUUUUGGUAAGCAGAACUGGCGAUGCGGGAUGAACCGAU